Molecule: long non-coding RNA, 829 nt
Organism: Cyprinodon tularosa
Lineage: Eukaryota; Metazoa; Chordata; Actinopteri; Cyprinodontiformes; Cyprinodontidae
Exons: 3
Source: RefSeq, a predicted model, not a curated record
CAGCCUGAUUGGUCCUGUAAGGAGUCACUGGAGAGGAGACAGUUCCAGAGCAGCGAGGAGAUGAUGGAAACGGACCUGAUCCUGGUGAUCUGGUUCUGUGGAGGAAGAGAGCAAGGAGAGGUUAGAGAAGAAUCUGGGAGCUUAGUUCGCUAACAGAGCUUGACCUGUUUUACCACGGAGAGAGUGGAACCAACUGGCAGCUUGUUCCAGGAAACUGCUCCAAUAUAAAGGCCCCCACUGAUUGUCAUCAAGGAGUAACAGCUGGAACCCAUCAAGCCUGCCACCCUGAAGUCCCAUUGGGAUUCAGAAUCUCUUUUUCAAGAGAGACCUGGCCAAGGUUGAUCCUGCCUGAAUACCUCAAACUCUGGAGAGUUUCUCUGCCGGUGAUGUGUCUGAUCGUUCUCAGUAGGACUCUGGAGAGCAGCCUCAGUCAAGUACCUGCCUGCCCGCUCUCAGAAGAUUACUGGAAGGAAAACUCAAUCAGUGAUCUGCCUGCACUCAGUAAGCUCUGCCUCCGCCUCUGCCCUCAGCCUGCCGACAACCUCUGGACCCUCAAGGUUCCCCCCCUCUGCAGCUCUGCUCCAUUUCCGAACAGGUACAGACCUGAACACUCACAACCAGCAAAAGGACCUGGACCUCCACUAAUCCCUCUGUCCUCCUCAGCAGUGAACCCACUCAUGACCAGUCAAGCCCCCUCUUGGAUCUGAACAUACUUUGUACAUUUAUUAUUAAUAAAUCUUUGAACUUUUUCAUCUGCCUCCGAGUGUUCUGCAUGUGGGUUAGACACAUUAAUCCGAACAUGACAUAAGUAGCCAAGAUAUACAUAAGA